RNAcentral lists this long non-coding RNA (5891 nucleotides) under Vitis vinifera (wine grape). RNAcentral describes it as "long non-coding RNA (VVIN_LNC005750)". The record is from RNAcentral. Lineage: Eukaryota; Viridiplantae; Streptophyta; Magnoliopsida; Vitales; Vitaceae.
AAUUAGGUUCACCAACUUUCUGCCCAUGCCCAUGCCUUGCCUCUAACUGCUCCAACUGCUCCCAAUCAACACUGCACUUCUCUUCCCACUCUCAACAACAACAAAAAAAAAAACGUCACAACCAUGUAUUAGCAAAAAGGGUCAAGCCUAAUACAAGAUUUAAUAAAUACACCAUGGAGGAAAAUAUCGGGAUAUAUCGGCGAUAUAUCUUGUAUCGGGAGGUGGCGACACGGCAUUUCAAGGAGAAAAAUCGAAGGACGAUUUUUCGCAAAAAAUCGCCAAUAAAUCGACGAUAUAUCGGUGAAAAUCGAUAAAUCGGCGAUUUCCCCAAAUAAUCGCCUGUGGCCGUAGAAAAUCGCCGAUAAAUCGCCGACUUUUUGGAGAUAUUUCGCUCCUCUCUCCAGCACGAUCUGACGGCCCAGAUCACGCCCGCGUUGAUCCAACGGCCAGAUUUGUCCUAGUUUGUGAUCCAACGGCCAUAUUUGAAUUUCAACGGUAAAUUGGUGUUCCAACGGCUAUUUUGGCCCAAAUUCCUUCUAUAAAUAGCCAUUUUUCCAUCAAUUUCACCCAUUUUUGCUUUCAUUCUUCAUUUGCUCUCUCAUUACUCCAAUUUUAAAGUAUGUUUAUUUUAAAUUGUAAUUAAUUUUGUUUGCAAUUGUAAUUAAUAUGGAUGAUUUAAUGUUAUUUUUAUAUUCAAUAGUAAUUAAUUUGUAUAUUUUUAUUGAAUUGACUUAGGUUAAUUUGAUUAUUUAAUUAUAAAUUGAUAUGUUUAUUUUAAAUGAUUAUUUGUGAUUUAGUUUCAUAUUUAGAAUGAUUAUUUGUGAUUUAGUUUCAUAUUUAAUUAAUUUAAUUAACAUGCUAAAUUAUUUAAUUAAUUUAAUUAACAUGAACUAGUAUAUUUUGAAUAUGAAAUAUGUUCAUUUUUAUGAUUAUUGAGAUUUUUUUUCAUAUUCAAUUAUGAUUAGUUUUUAAUUUAGUAAAUUUAUCAUAGAAUUAGAUCUAGAUUUAAAAAAUUAACUUAGCUAAAUUAUUUAAUUAGUUUAAUUAACAUGAACUACUAUAUAUGGAAUGUUAAAUAUGUUCAAUUUUUAUGAUUAUCAUGAUUUAGUUUCAUAUCCAAUUAUGAUUAAUUUUUAAUUUAGUAAAUUUUUCAUAGAAUUAGAUUUAGAUUAAAAAAAUUAACUUAGCUAAAUUAUUUAAUUAGUUUAAUUAACAUGAACUACUAUAUAUAUGGAAUAUUAAAUAUGUUCAAUUUUUAUGAUUAUCAUGAUUUAGUUUCAUAUCCAAUUAUGAUUAAUUUUUAAUUUAGUAAAUUUUUCAUGGAAUUAGAUUUAGAUUCAAAAAAUUAACUUAGCUAAAUUAUUUAAUUAGUUUAAUUAACAUGAACUACUAUAUAUGGAAUAUUAAAUAUGUUCAAUUUUUAUGAUUAUCAUGAUUUAGUUUCAUAUCCAAUUAUGAUUAAUUUUUAAUUUAGUAAAUUUUUCAUAGAAUUAGAUUUAGAUUCAAAAAAUUAACUUAGCUAAAUUAUUUAAUUAGUUUAAUUAAAUAUAUGGAAUAUCAACUAUGUUCAUUCUUUAUCAUUAUUUUGUACAUUUCUCAUAUAUUUAAAUUUAAAUAUUGACUUGAUUUUUGUUUACAUUGAAAUCACAUUCAAGUGUAUUUUUAUUGCAAUAGAUUUAGCAUGGCUAGUGAAGGUGGUUCUGCCCUGCCAGGGCGAGAUCCGGCUUGGAAGUAUUGUUUACCAAUUGGGGGUAACCGAAAUGGAACAAUUUGUAAUUUCUGUGGGUUGGUGAUGAAAAGUGGAGGCAUCACGCGAUUCAAGUUCCAUUUAAUGCAUAAAGACCCGCAUAACAACACCAAAAAGUGUCCGAGAGUGCCGCCCGAAGUGAAAGAAGAGAUACGAUUCCUAGUGCAUGACAAAACAAAAGCAAAAGCAAAGAAAAAUGCUGAUAUUGAAGACAUUCGUGCUCAAUUACGUGGCACAAUGGGGACUCAUCAUACACAUUUGGUAGACGAAGAUAAUGAUGAAGAUGUUGAGAAUGAAGAUGUGUAUAUGUAUCCGACAGAUAUGCACCCAAAUGAGCGGGAUGCAUAUCGAUCUGCAGUUCGUGCCUCGAAAGCAUCAAAAUGGGAACGUGAACAAUAUGAGAAUAUUGUAGGGAGCAAACGCAAAACGGGGGAGUCUUCACAGUCUACUGGAUUACCGCCGAUGAUGCGAAAAUCACAUAGUAUGCGACAUUCGCAACAAUCACCCCCUAUUGCCCCUUCGCUUUACAAGUCUUCUGCAGCAAAACAAAAAAAUAUCAAAGAUAUAUUCAAGGGUGGUGCAAUUAAAGAAACGAUGGGACGCUUAAUUAGCAAAUUCUUCAUUUAUGAGAGCGUCGCACCCGCAAAAGCAAAGUCUCAUCACUUCAAGAAUAUGAUUAUUGGUGCACAACAAGCUGGUAAUUACUAAUUUUUGAAAUGUUAUAUUGUGCUAUACUUUUAGUAAGUAUAGUCUUUUGUGACAUGUUUUACAUUUUUUUUUUUAUAUGAAGUGCAGGAAUGGGAAUUGAACCUCCAUCUCCAUUUGACAUAAAGAACAAGUACUUGGAAAUGGAGUACAGAGAAAUGGAAGCUUAUGUGAACCAACAAAGAGAAAAAUGGAAGACAUAUGGGUGCACAAUAAUGUCAGAUGGAUGGACAGGGCCCACGAAAUUAAGUAUUAUUAAUUUCAUGGUUUAUUCUAAAGGGAGCACGGUCUUCCUUAAGUCAGUUGAUGCAUCGAACUAUAUCAAAGACCACAAGUAUAUAUACGACCUAUUGAAGACUGUUAUCAAAGAAGUCGGUAAAGAAAUGUGGUCCAAAUUGCCACAGAUAAUGGGUCGGUGUUCAUGAAAGCAGGGAAACAAUUGAUGAAGAAGUAUAACUUAUACUGGACUCCGUGUGCGGCGCACUGCAUCGACUUAAUCUUUGAAGACAUUGGUAAAAGACCCAGUGUUAUCGAGGUGAUAAACAAUGCUCGCAAGAUAACUAACUUCAUUUACAAUCAUGGUUGGUUACUAGCACAAAUGAGACUGUAUUGUGGUGGAGACAUUGUUCGACCAGGAGCUACAAGGUUUGCUACCAAUUAUAUUGCUCUUGACAGUCUUCUUAAAAAAAGGGUCGAUUUGAAAAAAUUGUUUAUGAGUGAUGAUUGGGCACAACACAAGCUGAGUCGAACAAAACAUGGACGAGAGUUGGAGCAAUUAUUGUUUGACCAUGCGUAUUGGGACAGAAUGACAAAUAUAGUUUCAUUAUAUGAGCCAUUAUACGUGGUGCUUCGACUUAUGGAUUCUGAAGUUGUUCCCACAAUGCCAUUUGUGUAUGAACUUAUGCACGUGAUGAAAAAGAACCUUACGCAUUAAGGAACUGGAGAUUGGAUGUUCAAAAUAAUACAAGAUCGUUGGGAGAAAACACUAAAACAUCCACUUCAUGCAACAGGUACUUAAAUACUAUAUAUCUUUAUAAGUUUUUACUCUGUAUUUAAUUUUGUUUAAAAAAAUACUAACUCUACUUAAUUUUAUUGUAGCAUACUUCUUGAAUCCAAGAUUUCAAUAUAAGCGUGGAGUUGGUAGUGAUCCGGAACUACUUCAAGCGGUCCAUGAUGUUUUUGCAAAAUUAGAUCCAACUACUGAAUCACUUGGUCAAUUUGGAAAUGAGGUAAAUAAAAAACUGUUAUUUGUCUAUAAAACAAUAAUUUCAUUCAUCAAUUUAUUUGAACGUUUACUAACAAAUAUGAUAUUAACAAAUUAAAUGUUGAAUACAUAGCUUGUGCUUUUUCGAGAUGCAAAAAGAGGAUUUGGUGAUUGAGCGGCAAUUGCAGCAAGGUCAACCAUGGUGCCCGGUAAGUCUUUAUAGGAAAAAAUUGAUUAUCAUUAUUGUAAAUUCACCACAUAAGUAUUUAUAUGAUUAUCAAAUUGGUUGCAGCUGAAUGGUGGUUUAUGUAUGGGAAUCAAACACCUACAUUGAGAAAGUUAGUCAUCAAAGUUCUCUCACAAACUGCGUCAUCUACUGCCUAUGAGAGAAAUUGGAGCACGUUUGCUCUCAUCCACACAAAGCAACGAAAUCGUUUGGCUUACUCUCGAUUGGAGCAAUUAGUUUUUUGUUACUAUAAUAUGAGGCUAAAGUUACGCGAUAUGGAGGCAGAAAAUGAUCGAGUUGCUGAAAAAGAUUAUCUUGAUCUUCUUGACAUUUCAGCCGAGGUGGGUGAAAAAGAAGAUAAUCAGUUGUUCCAAUGGGUGAGGCCUAUACACUUGGAUGACGAAGUUGGAAAUCUCGAUCCACGAAUUGCCGCUCAUGCUCGAGAAUUUGGAGUUAAUGUUGAACGUGUGUUGUCUGAAGAAGUUCACUCUGAAAGUUUUAGCAAAGAUACUGAUGAUUCCCACCAAGAGAUUGACUCCACAAGUGCUGGCCAUAGUAGUAGACCUAGUGCUGCAGGUACUUCUGCUUUUGGUUACGAUGGUUCAAGAGGUGGAACUGAUGAUGGAGGUGAUAAUGCGGGAGGAGAUAUUAAUGAACGUCAACAUAGUCAAUUCACCUGUGAAAAUACUUUCACACACUGCACACAGGAUGAAGACCAUGGCUCUAGAAGAGCUGGUCCAGGCAUAGGAGCUAUUGGGAAGCCUUAUAGAGGAAGAGAACGAAUGAUGAAACCAUAUAAUGAGGAGUUACUUUCAGGGAGUUUUGAAUCUAUGAGUAUAGGAACUCAAUUUAGUGACUCCUCGAAUGAGGCUAAUGUCUACCCUCCUCAUGUGAUGAGUUAUGGUCAACCUUCAAGUUCAACAGAUGAAGAGUAUGGUAUGUCGCGUUAUUCACCUUCUAGACAAAUGCCUUACCAAGUUCCAUAUCAGAUGGAAGGAGGAUUGGGCAUUAACACAUGGGUGAACUUUGAGUAUCCUAUCUAUGUAGAGGCAGUGGGUAGGACUCAAGAGAUAUAUGCAUGGCAUGUUAGAAUUUUUAACCAAUAUUAUCGAGGCUCAUUAAGUUGGUACCAAUAUUGUCUCCAACAGCAAGACAACGUUCCUUCAUCUAUCAAUCCCAUUGAACCACAUCGAUCCUCAUUUUGGUACUAAAGGGACAUUGUAAUGUAAUGUGUACAAAUUAUUGCUAUUUAAUGAAAUGAAGUAUUUUAUGUGACUUUAUAAUGAGAACAAUUACAAAAUUAACAUUUCUUAUAGAUCGACAUGAUAUAAUUACAUUUAAUAUCGUAAAUUAUAUCAUAUGUAUAUCAAAUUUUUCUACAAAACAACUUUAAAAUGUCUAUUAUACUUCUAAUUAUAUUAUUAUGAAGUUUUUAACAAUUUUAAGCCUACCAAUAUUUUUUUCCAAAAUAUCCGCCAAAAAUUGAAGUACCGAUAUAUCCGUGAUUACCGAUAUUUUCUUCCAUGAAAUACACUAGCCCAAAUCCAACUAAUAUAAUAGGCCCAAAUUUCAAUCACCAACAACAUAUGGGCCCAAAAUCCAUAUCAAUAAGCAAAUUAGGCCCAAAUCUCAUAACGCAAAGCCAAAGACAAAAACAAAUCAAAAUAAAAAUAAAAACAAAUGAGAAAAAUAAAAUAAAAUAAAAUGAAAUAAUAAAAAAAACAAAUAAGUAAAUGAAAUCUUACCUAUCUUCUAACCCACGAACAAAGAUGCAGCAAUCGAUGACCAGGGGGAGUGACAAUGAAGACAGAGACACGUUUAUGGCAGUGCAUAAAAGAAAAUGAAAGAAGAAAAAAAAGAAAAGAAAAAGUAAAAAUAAAUAAAUAAAAUAAAAUAAAAUAAUAAAAUAAAAACUUAAAAAAUAUAGAAAGAAUAAAUGGAAAGAAAAAAAGUAAAAGAAAAAGAAAAGAAAAGAAGAUAAGAAGAAUAAGAAGGGAUGGAGGUUGUGA